RNAcentral lists this long non-coding RNA (201 nucleotides) under Lupinus angustifolius (narrow-leaved blue lupine). Its description in RNAcentral is "long non-coding RNA (LANG_LNC003029)". Lineage: Eukaryota; Viridiplantae; Streptophyta; Magnoliopsida; Fabales; Fabaceae. The record is from RNAcentral.
GUGAGGAGGAUGGCUCCUUGAACCACCGUCCUUCCUUCUUCUUCUCCGGUUGACACGCCGACAUGAUUUUUUGAUGUAACGCCCUGUUUUCAUGGUGGUUAGGGGCGCUGGAACAGGUUGAUUUCUCUGUAUUCUUGUUCAUCUUCUCCGGUUGUCAUCGGCGCGGUUUCAGUGGUCUCACGAUGGUUAUAUAUUCAGGGG